RNAcentral lists this unclassified non-coding RNA (337 nucleotides) under soil metagenome. RNAcentral describes it as "partial contains 5.8S ribosomal RNA, internal transcribed spacer 2, and large subunit ribosomal RNA". The stretch from base 1 to 120 matches the Rfam family "5.8S ribosomal RNA", at positions 35 to 154 of the family's 154-position model. The record is from RNAcentral.
GAUGAAGAACGUAGCGAAAUGCGAUAAGAAGUGUGAAUUGCAGAAUUCAGUGAAUCAUCGAAUCUUUGAACGCACAUUGCGCCCCUUGGUAUUCCAUGGGGCAUGCCUGUUCGAGCGUCAUUUGUACCUUCAAGCCUUGCUUGGUGUUGGGUGUUUGUCUCGCCUCUGCGCGCAGACUCGCCUCAAAACAAUUGGCAGCCGGCGUAUUGAUUUCGGAGCGCAGUACAUCUCGCGCUUUGCACUCAGAACGACGACGUCCAAAAGUACAUUUUUACACUCUUGACCUCGGAUCAGGUAGGGAUACCCGCUGAACUUAAGCAUAUCAAUAAGCGGAGGA